GAUGAACGCUGGCGGCGUGCCUAAUACAUGCAAGUCGAGCGAACAGACGAGGAGCUUGCUCCUUUGACGUUAGCGGCGGACGGGUGAGUAACACGUAGGUAACCUACCUAUAAGACUGGGAUAACUUCGGGAAACCGGAGCUAAUACCGGAUAAUAUUUCGAACCGCAUGGUUCGAUAGUGAAAGAUGGCUUUGCUAUCACUUAUAGAUGGACCUGCGCCGUAUUAGCUAGUUGGUAAGGUAACGGCUUACCAAGGCAACGAUACGUAGCCGACCUGAGAGGGUGAUCGGCCACACUGGAGCUGAGACACGGUCCAGACUCCUACGGGAGGCAGCAGUAGGGAAUCUUCCGCAAUGGGCGAAAGCCUGACGGAGCAACGCCGCGUGAGUGAUGAAGGUCUUCGGAUCGUAAAACUCUGUUAUUAGGGAAGAACAAACGUGUAAGUAACUGUGCACGUCUUGACGGUACCUAAUCAGAAAGCCACGGCUAACUACGUA
This 497-nucleotide ribosomal RNA is filed under the name uncultured bacterium. RNAcentral describes it as "partial 16S ribosomal RNA". It matches the Rfam family "Bacterial small subunit ribosomal RNA", at positions 28 to 507 of the family's 1533-position model. The record is from RNAcentral.